This 253-nucleotide ribosomal RNA is filed under the name uncultured bacterium. RNAcentral's name for it is "partial 16S ribosomal RNA". It matches the Rfam family "Bacterial small subunit ribosomal RNA", at positions 524 to 776 of the family's 1533-position model. The record is from RNAcentral.
UACGUAGGGUGCAAGCGUUAAUCGGAAUUACUGGGCGUAAAGCGUGCGCAGGCGGUUAUGUAAGACAGUUGUGAAAUCCCCGGGCUCAACCUGGGAACUGCAUUUGUGACUGCAUCGCUGGAGUGCGGCAGAGGGGGAUGGAAUUCCGCGUGUAGCAGUGAAAUGCGUAGAUAUGCGGAGGAACACCGAUGGCGAAGGCAAUCCCCUGGGCCUGCACUGACGCUCAUGCACGAAAGCGUGGGGAGCAAACAGG